Molecule: signal recognition particle RNA, 83 nt
Filed under: uncultured Desulfurobacterium sp.
Lineage: Bacteria; Pseudomonadati; Aquificota; Aquificia; Desulfurobacteriales; Desulfurobacteriaceae
Description: Bacterial small signal recognition particle RNA
Rfam family: Bacterial small signal recognition particle RNA (bases 9-79)
About the family: The signal recognition particle (SRP) is a universally conserved ribonucleoprotein involved in the co-translational targeting of proteins to membranes. Archaeal SRP consists of a 7S RNA and homologues of the eukaryotic SRP19 and SRP54 proteins. In most bacteria, the SRP consists of a 4.5S RNA and the Ffh protein (a homologue of the eukaryotic SRP54 protein).
Source: RNAcentral
CGGGUCCUCCACAACGUCCGGAGGGUGAACCCCGCCAGGCCCGGAAGGGAGCAACGGUAAGCCUGAAGGGCGUGUGUGGUAAG